GUGCUCACCUUGGAAGCACAUAUGCCAAAAUUAGAAUCAUACAGAGAUUAGCAUGUCCUCUGCAAAGAUGAGGUAAAUUUGUGAUACAUUUCAUAUUUUC
Molecule: small nuclear RNA, 100 nt
Organism: Bos grunniens (domestic yak)
Lineage: Eukaryota; Metazoa; Chordata; Mammalia; Artiodactyla; Bovidae
Source: Ensembl